CCAGACACCUGUGAGAAGUAGCCUUUACCAUGAGAUAGCCCUUUAUGAAAUCGAUUGAGGCUAACCAUGGUCUUACUAACAUCAAACACCAUGACAACUUAAGAAGUAGAUGUAAGAAACAGCAAAAUUAAGCAUCCUAUAUGUGAAAAACUACCACAUACUAAGAAGUUAGUUUUGAGCCAGAGAAAUUACUACACAAAGAAAAGCCUUACCCUUCAAAGUUAGGUUGCAAGGAGGGGCCAUUUUCAUCCAUGCCUGUGAGACCCGACAGCUUGAAACAAAAACCAAGAGAUUUGAGAGAAGCAGUUCUAUGAAUCAGAGACAUGUAGUUUCAAGUUUUAUUCAAUUCUCCUUAUCAAAACAUAAUUAGUGACCUUGAGACAUUGUAACCACUACACUUUAUAUCAAGUUAGUUCUAUGAAUAAAGUAUACCACACCACACACUGACAAGGCUAUAGCAGUGUUAAUGCAACAUCCAUACGCAAACAAAAAAUGUGUUGAUUUAAAAGCUCAAAUGAUGAUAUUCUCCUGAA
This is a long non-coding RNA of Macrobrachium nipponense, 533 nucleotides long. RefSeq lists it as uncharacterized. The transcript is spliced from 3 exons. Lineage: Eukaryota; Metazoa; Arthropoda; Malacostraca; Decapoda; Palaemonidae. The record is from RefSeq and is a predicted model, not a curated record.